RNAcentral lists this ribosomal RNA (253 nucleotides) under uncultured bacterium. Its description in RNAcentral is "partial 16S ribosomal RNA". It matches the Rfam family "Bacterial small subunit ribosomal RNA", at positions 524 to 776 of the family's 1533-position model. The record is from RNAcentral.
UACGAAGGUCCCAAGCGUUAUCCGGAUUUAUUGGGUUUAAAGGGUGCGUAGGCGGUUUGUCGCGUCUGCUGUGAAAACCUAAGGCUCAACCUUGGGCUUGCAGUGGGUACGGGCAGACUAGAGUGCGGUAGGGGUGACUGGAAUUCCUGGUGUAGCGGUGGAAUGCGCAGAUAUCAGGAGGAACACCGAUGGCGAAGGCAGGUCACUGGGCCGCAACUGACGCUGAGGAGCGAAAGCAUGGGGAGCGAACAGG